Non-coding RNA from Pelobates cultripes (western spadefoot toad), 362 nucleotides. The record is from the annotation of a GenBank genome assembly. NCBI's taxonomy places the organism in Eukaryota, Metazoa, Chordata, Amphibia, Anura, Pelobatidae.
CUCAGAUUCACCCACUCUCAAAUUCAGACACAAGGAAUAACAUUUAUUCACAGAUUCAGACAUAUCGAUUAACACACACAGUUUCACAUACACAGUUUUUUACUUCCUCAAAUAUUCACAUUCACUCACAGAUUCACACUCACUCACAGAUUUGCACAAGCAUAUUUAGAUACAGAUUCACACUGCCUCAAAGAUUCAUACUCAUGCACGGAUUAAGACACAAACUCACACACACUCACAGAUUCGGACACACAGAUUCACACUCACUCACCGAUACAGACACUAAUUCUUACAUACACAGAUUCAGAAACACAGAAUGACACUCACUCAGAUUCAGACACAGCUUCACUCACACAAAUUCA